RNAcentral lists this long non-coding RNA (487 nucleotides) under Salvia miltiorrhiza (redroot sage). RNAcentral describes it as "long non-coding RNA (SMIL_LNC006827)". Lineage: Eukaryota; Viridiplantae; Streptophyta; Magnoliopsida; Lamiales; Lamiaceae. The record is from RNAcentral.
UGGCAUGCCUCGCCGGCUAAUCAAACGACAACGUCUCUAAUUACCUUAAACGAUGUCGUUUUCCACGAUUUUAAGCAAAUUACAAUUUCUAGUUUUAUAUAUUUGUCGAUUAGGGCUUCAAAUGUCCUCAUUUCUUCUCCCAAAUUUUCUCAUCUCAGUUGAAAUUCUUGUUCCAUAAAUUCUCAUUUGCAGCAAAAAUCUUUGAACUGAUGGAUUCUUCUUCUCAAACGGGACGACUGAGCUCAUACAAUUUCCCCUUACCUCCAAAAUUCUGCAGAUGCGAAGAACCAGAGCCGUGNCUCAUUUGCAGCAAAAAUCUUUGAACUGAUGGAUUCUUCUUCUCAAACGGGACGACUGAGCUCAUACAAUUUCCCCUUAAUUACCUCCAAAAUUCUGCAGAUGCGAAGAACCAGAGCCGUGCAUCUUGCAGGCUUCAAAUAGUGUGACUAAUCCGGAGAGGCGCUACUUCUCAUCAUGUACAAAAACA